CGCGCAGGCGGCCGACGUAGUCAGGCGUGAAAGCCCCGGGCUUAACCUGGGAAUUGCGUUUGAUACUCGUUGGCUAGAGUUCGGGAGAGGAUGGUGGAAUUCCCAGUGUAGAGGUGAAAUUCGUAGAUAUUGGGAAGAACACCGGUGGCGAAGGCGGCCAUCUGGACCGAAACUGACGCUGAGGCGCGAAAGCGUGGGGAGCAAACAGGAUUAGAUACCCUGGUAGUCCACGCCGUAAACGAUGUGUGCUAGACGUUGGCGGACCUAGUUCGCCAGUGUCGCAGCUAACGCGUUAAGCACACCGCCUGGGGAGUACGGCCGCAAGGUUAA
RNAcentral lists this ribosomal RNA (330 nucleotides) under uncultured bacterium. RNAcentral's name for it is "bacterial SSU rRNA". It matches the Rfam family "Bacterial small subunit ribosomal RNA", at positions 568 to 897 of the family's 1533-position model. The record is from RNAcentral.